This 253-nucleotide ribosomal RNA is filed under the name uncultured bacterium. Its description in RNAcentral is "partial 16S ribosomal RNA". It matches the Rfam family "Bacterial small subunit ribosomal RNA", at positions 524 to 776 of the family's 1533-position model. The record is from RNAcentral.
UACGGAGGGUGCGAGCGUUAUCCGGAAUCACUGGGUUUAAAGGGUGCGUAGGCGGCUUGAUAAGUCAGUAUUGAAAGCCCAUCGCUUAACGAUGGAACUGGUAAUGAUACUGUCAGGCUAGAAAUUAGAUGAGGAUGGCGGAAUGUGACAUGUAGCGGUGAAAUGCAUAGAUAUGUCAUAGAACACCUAUUGCGAAGGCAGCUAUCUAGACUAUAUUUGACGCUGAGGCACGAAAGCGUGGGUAUCGAACAGG